UGGGUUCAGUUAGAGGUUCAGAUUGAUGAUUAAUGGGGUUUUUAGAGGGAGUUUCUAUUUGUGGUUCAGAUGGAGGUGUUGGUGGUUAUUCAAAUGGUGAAGGAAUAUUGGUUUUUGGUUCAGGUUGGUUUUAGGCGGAGAGGGCGCGAGCCUGGAGUUGAGCGAGAGUGGGGGAUUGAGGGUCAGAUGGGUCAGAAUUAGA
Molecule: long non-coding RNA, 202 nt
Filed under: Lathyrus oleraceus (garden pea)
Lineage: Eukaryota; Viridiplantae; Streptophyta; Magnoliopsida; Fabales; Fabaceae
Description: Pisum sativum (pea) long non-coding RNA (PSAT_LNC029488)
Source: RNAcentral